CUAAAAAUCUAGCCUUCCAUAAUUUCAUCACCAUUAAUCUCACCACCAAACAAAAUAUUUUACCAAUUCAGUAAAGAAGAUUAAAAAACUUUUAAGAGCUAUAUUCUAGUACCGCAAGGGAAAAAUGAAAUAAAAAUGAAAAUUUUUAAGCAUAAAAUAGUAGAGACCUAACCUCGUACCUUUUGCAUCAUGGUUUAGCUAGUCUAACCGGGCAAAAUGAACCUUUAAGUCUGACUUCCCGAAACUAAGUGAGCUACUUUAGGGCCGCUAAACGAGCUGACCCUUCUAUGUUGCAAAAUAGUGGGAAGACCCUAAAAUAGAGGUGAUAAACCUAACGAACUUAGUUAUAGCUGGUUUCUCAAAAAAAGAAUUUUAGUCCAACCUAAAGUAAUAUAAAUUUAAAUAAAUCCCACCUACCCUUUAGAGUAAUUCAAAUAAGGUACAGCCUAUUUGAUACAGGAUUCAACCUUCACCAACGGGUAACAUUUUUCUGUAUUUAUAAGUAGGCCUUAUAGCAGCCACCUUUCAAAAAGCGUCAAAGCUUAACACUUUAAAUCCAACCCAUUAUAUUGACCCCUAAAACCCUACUGAGAACUUCUAUAAGCUUAUAGAAAUUUUUAUGCUAAAACUAGUAACAAGAGUUUAAUGUCCUCUCUUUAAUGUCAGUAUAUGCCAGAAAGAAUCAACCUCCGGCAAUUAACAAACCUAAAUUACAGUAGUAACUUUACCAGAAAACCCCACUUUUAUAGCUGUUAACCUAACACAAGCACAUUUCAAGAAAGAUUAAAAGAAAGAGAAGGAACUCGGCAAAUACAAAUCCCGCCUGUUUACCAAAAACAUCGCCUCUUGACCACAUAAGAGGUCCCGCCUGCCCAGUGACUCUGUUCAACGGCCGCGGUAUCCUAACCGCGCAAAGGUAGCGUAAUCACUUGUCUUCUAAAUUAAGACUAGUAUGAAAGGCAUCACGAGGAUUAAACUGUCUUCUAAAUUAAGACUAGUAUGAAAGGCAUCACGAGGAUUAAACUGUCUCCUCUCUCAAUUCAGUGAACCUAUCCUCCCCGUGAAGAGACGGGGAUAUAAAAAUAAGACGAGAAGACCCUAUGGAGCUUUAAACAUAUAACACCUGCUUUAAUUUACCCUACCCACAGCACAGUGAUUAUAUGUUUUUGGUUGGGGUGACCGCGGAGAAAAAACAACCCUCCAUGAUGAAACUUCCCUAAACAAUAAGCCACAACUUUAUGUAUUGACAAAUUAACAUUCAUUGACCCAAUAUAUUGAUUAACGAACCAAGUUACCCUAGGGAUAACAGCGCAAUCCACUUCGAGAGCUCCUAUCGACAAGUGGGCUUACGACCUCGAUGUUGGAUCGGGAUACCCAAGUGGUGUAGCCGCUACUAAAGGUUCGUUUGUUCAACGAUUAAAACCCCACGUGAUCUGAGUUCAGACCGGAGUAAUCCAGGUCAGUUUCUAUCUAUUAACAGCUUCUUUUAGUACGAAAGGACCAAAAAAGCAUGGUCAAUACUCUAAGCAAACCAUAAUUCUUAAUUUUAGACCUCAACUCAAAAAAUUAUUAACUUACCCCGCCCAUCAAGAAAAGAAUA
This 1600-nucleotide ribosomal RNA is filed under the name Pristimantis conservatio (conservation landfrog). Its description in RNAcentral is "16S ribosomal RNA". It matches the Rfam family "Bacterial large subunit ribosomal RNA", at positions 379 to 2767 of the family's 2925-position model. Lineage: Eukaryota; Metazoa; Chordata; Amphibia; Anura; Strabomantidae. The record is from RNAcentral.